AAUCUUCGUCAAUGGACGAAAGUCUGACGCAACCACGCCGCGUGAGCGAUGAAGGCCUNCGGAUCNUNAAACUCUUUUGGUAGGGNCGAAAAAGCAUCGGAGACACCGCCGGUACCAUGACGGUACCUGCAGAAUAAGCCCCGGCUAACUACGUGCCAGCAGCCGCGGUAAUACGUAGGUUGCAAGCGUUGACCGGAAUUACUGGGCGUAAAGCGUGCGUAGGCGGUUCUGUAAGACAGAUGUGAAAUCCUAGGGCUUAACUUUGGGCCGGCAUUGUUAACUGGCGGGCUAGGGUGCGGAAGAGGGGGGUGGAAUUCCGUGUGUAGCAGUGAAAUGCGUAGAGAUGUGGAGGAACACCGAUGGCGAAGGCAGCCUUCUGGGCUGUCACUGACGCUGAUGCGCGAAAGCGUGGGGAGCAAACA
This 422-nucleotide ribosomal RNA is filed under the name uncultured bacterium. Its description in RNAcentral is "partial 16S ribosomal RNA". It matches the Rfam family "Bacterial small subunit ribosomal RNA", at positions 360 to 774 of the family's 1533-position model. The record is from RNAcentral.